AUAAUUAUUCGUUCGCCGGAACCAGAAGUAAAAAUUGUUGUGGAUAGGGAUCCUAUAAAAACAUCUUUUGAGGAAUGGGCCAGACCCGGCCAUUUCUCAAGAACACUAGCUAAGGGCCCUGAUACUACCACUUGGAUCUGGAAUCUACAUGCUGAUGCUCACGAUUUCGAUAGUCAUACUGGUGAUUUGGAGGAGAUUUCUCGAAAAGUCUUUAGUGCUCAUUUCGGGCAACUUUCCAUUAUCUUUCUUUGGUUGAGUGGCAUGUACUUUCAUGGCGCCCGUUUUUCCAAUUAUGAAGCAUGGCUAAGUGAUCCUACUCACAUUGGACCCAGUGCUCAGGUAGUUUGGCCUAUAGUAGGGCAAGAAAUAUUGAAUGGUGAUGUAGGCGGGGGUUUCCGAGGAAUCCAAAUAACCUCUGGUUUUUUUCUUUGGCGAGCGUCUGGAAUAACUAGUGAAUUACAACUCUAUUGUACUGCAAUUGGUGCAUUGAUUUUUGCAGCGUUAAUGCUUUUUGCUGGUUGGUUCCAUUAUCACAAAGUCGCACCCAAAUUGGCCUGGUUCCAAGAUGUAGAAUCCAUGUUGAAUCACCACUUAGCGGAAUUAUUAGGACUUGGGUCUCUUUCUUGGGCGGGGCACCAAAUUCAUGUAUCUUUACCAAUUAACCAAUUUCUUGACGCUGGGGUGGAUCCUAAAGAGAUACCACUUCCUCAUGAAUUUAUCUUGAAUCGGGACCUUUUGGCUCAACUUUAUCCUAGUUUUGCCGAAGGAGCAACCCUUUUUUUCACUUUAAAUUGGUCCAAAUACGCAGAAUUUCUGACUUUUCGCGGAGGACUAGAUCCAGUAACCGGUGGUCUCUGGCUGACUGAUAUUGCGCACCAUCAUUUAGCUAUUGCUAUUCUUUUCCUAAUCGCAGGUCAUAUGUAUAGGACCAAUUGGGGUAUUGGCCAUGGACUUAAAGAUAUUUUGGAGGCUCACAAGGGCCCAUUUACAGGACAAGGCCAUAAGGGUCUUUAUGAAAUCUUAACAACGUCAUGGCAUGCUCAAUUAUCUCUUAACCUAGCUAUGCUAGGCUCUACAACCAUUGUUGUAGCUCAUCAUAUGUAUUCUAUGCCUCCCUAUCCAUACCUAGCUACUGACUAUGGUACACAACUUUCCUUGUUCAAACACCACAUGUGGAUUGGCGGAUUUCUAAUAGUCGGUGCUGCUGCACAUGCAGCAAUUUUUAUGGUAAGAGACUAUGAUCCAACUACUCGAUACAAUGAUCUAUUAGAUCGCGUCCUUAGACACCGCGAUGCAAUCAUAUCCCACCUUAACUGGGUAUGUAUAUUUCUAGGUUUUCACAGUUUUGGCUUGUACAUUCAUAAUGAUACCAUGAGUGCUUUAGGCCGUCCACAAGAUAUGUUUUCGGAUACUGCCAUACAAUUACAACCUAUCUUUGCUCAAUGGGUACAAAAUAUCCAUGCUACUGCGCCUGGCGUAACAGCUCCUGGUGCAACAACAAGUACUAGCUUAACGUGGGGAGGCGGCGAGUUAGUAGCAGUAGGUGGCAAAGUGGCUUUGUUACCUAUUCCAUUAGGAACCGCAGAUUUUUUAGUCCAUCACAUUCAUGCAUUUACCAUACAUGUGACUGUAUUAAUACUUUUGAAAGGUGUUUUAUUUGCUCGGAGUUCCCGUUUGAUACCCGAUAAAGCAAAUCAAGGUUUUCGCUUUCCUUGCGAUGGGCCUGGCCGAGGGGGAACAUGUCAAGUAUUCGCCUGGGAUCAUGUUUUCUUAGGUUUAUUCUGGAUGUACAAUGCAAUUUCGGUAGUCAUUUUCCAUUUCAAUUGGAAAAUGCAGUCGGGUGUUUGGGGUACUAUAAGUGAUCAAGGGGUGGUAACUCAUAUUACAGGGGGAAACUUUGCACAGAGUUCCUUUACGAUUAAUGGGUGGCUUCGAGAUUUCUUGUGGGCACAGGCAUCGCAAGUCAUUCAGUCUUAUGGUUCUUCAUUAUCUGCAUAUGGUCUUUUUUUCUUAGGUGCUCAUUUUGUCUGGGCCUUCAGUUUAAUGUUUUUAUUCAGCGUCCGUGGUUAUUGGCAAGAACUCAUUGAAUCUAUCAUUUGGGCUCAUAACAAAUUAAAAGUUGCUCCUGCUACUCAGCCUAGAGCCUUGAGCAUUAUACAAGGACGCGCUGUAGGAGUAACCCAUUACCUUCUGGGUGGAAUUGCCACGACAUGGGCAUUCUUCUUAGCGAGAAUUAUUGCAGUAGGAUAG
RNAcentral lists this ribosomal RNA (2250 nucleotides) under Triticum aestivum (bread wheat). RNAcentral describes it as "partial small subunit ribosomal RNA". The record is from RNAcentral. Lineage: Eukaryota; Viridiplantae; Streptophyta; Magnoliopsida; Poales; Poaceae.